GGGGCAAUCAAAAUUUAGCCACCAAGCUUACCAUACAAUAGAAGAAAAGACUAUAUAGUAGAUGUUCCAGCACUUCCCACCACAGUUUCUGUGCUUCUGCUAUUGUCAAUUGGGCUUUAUCUAAUUCAAAAUGUAUUGGCAUUGAUAUGAUGGAGUAAGAUGCUGCUGGAUAACAGGUCCAGAUGUUUCUAGCAAAUUGCAUCAUGAGAUUUGCCUAACACCUCACAGUAGAAGACAGUAUUGAAAUUGUUGCCUCUUGGUUGGAAUUAUGCUAGCAAAACCCUUUUUCGUCUCAAAAACAGUCUUAGUUGAUUGUGUUUUGAGAUGGCCACUGACAACUGUAAUAUUUCUGGUGCACAGAAGAACUGAUUGGAUUCAGAUUGUUAGUGGUGCACCCAUGAUUUGUCAUCUGCGACAAUUUAGAUCAGCAUAUCCUGUCCUUCCAUGGCAUACUAAGCAGAUGCUGCUAGGACAGGCCCACGCAUAUCAAUUUUUCUUCCACCAAAGUUGUCAGGGCAUCCAGCAUGCACACACUUUAUGGAACUUCAGAUAAUCGUACAUAAUACUAUAGACUAAACCAUGUGAAC
Molecule: long non-coding RNA, 587 nt
Filed under: Androctonus crassicauda
Lineage: Eukaryota; Metazoa; Arthropoda; Arachnida; Scorpiones; Buthidae
Source: RNAcentral